Molecule: ribosomal RNA, 504 nt
Filed under: uncultured bacterium
Lineage: Bacteria
Description: bacterial SSU rRNA
Rfam family: Bacterial small subunit ribosomal RNA
Source: RNAcentral
ACGACGCUGGCGGCGUGCUUAACACAUGCAAGUCGAACGGAGAUUAUUAAUGAAGCUUGCGUAUUUAAUAAUCUUAGUGGCGGACGGGUGAGUAACGCGUGGGCAACCUACCCAUAAGCGGGGGAUAACAGUUGGAAACGACUGCUAAUACCGCAUAAGCUAUUGAGGUCGCAUGACCUAAAUAGUAAAGGUGGCGAAAGCUAUCACUUAUGGAUGGGCCCGCGUCUGAUUAGCUAGUUGGUGGGAUAGCAGCCUACCAAGGCAACGAUCAGUAGCCGGCCUGAGAGGGUGGACGGCCACACUGGGACUGAGACACGGCCCAGACUCCUACGGGAGGCAGCAGUGGGGAAUAUUGCGCAAUGGGGGAAACCCUGACGCAGCGACGCCGCGUGAGCGAAGAAGGCCUUAGGGUCGUAAAGCUCUGUUGUAAGGGACGAAUGUUUAUCUGGCGAACAGUCAGAUAAAGUGACGGUACCUUACCAGCAAGCCCCGGCUAACUACGUG